AGUGAACGCUGGCGGUAGGCCUAACACAUGCAAGUCGAACGGCAGCACAGUAAGAGCUUGCUCUUACGGGUGGCGAGUGGCGGACGGGUGAGGAAUACAUCGGAAUCUACUUUUUCGUGGGGGAUAACGUAGGGAAACUUACGCUAAUACCGCAUACGACCUACGGGUGAAAGCAGGGGAUCUUCGGACCUUGCGCGAUUGAAUGAGCCGAUGUCGGAUUAGCUAGUUGGCGGGGUAGAGGCCCACCAAGGCGACGAUCCGUAGCUGGGCUGAGAGGAUGAUCAGCCACACUGGAACUGAGACACGGUCCAGACUCCUACGGGAGGCAGCAGUGGGGAAUAUUGGACAAUGGGCGCAAGCCUGAUCCAGCCAUACCGCGUGGGUGAAGAAGGCCUUCGGGUUGUAAAGCCCUUUUGUUGGGAAAGAAAAGCAGCAGGUUAAUACCCCGCUGUUCUGACGGUACCCAAAGAAUAAGCACCGGCUAACUUCGUG
This 492-nucleotide ribosomal RNA is filed under the name uncultured bacterium. RNAcentral describes it as "partial 16S ribosomal RNA". It matches the Rfam family "Bacterial small subunit ribosomal RNA", at positions 29 to 507 of the family's 1533-position model. The record is from RNAcentral.